Molecule: ribosomal RNA, 429 nt
Filed under: uncultured bacterium
Lineage: Bacteria
Description: bacterial SSU rRNA
Rfam family: Bacterial small subunit ribosomal RNA
Source: RNAcentral
UGGGGAAUUUUGGACAAUGGGGGAAACCCUGAUCCAGCCAUGCCGCGUGUGCGAAGAAGGCCUUCGGGUUGUAAAGCACUUUUGUCAGGAACGAAAAGGUAUGCACUAAUACUGUGUGCCGAUGACGGUACCUGAAGAAUAAGCACCGGCUAACUACGUGCCAGCAGCCGCGGUAAUACGUAGGGUGCAAGCGUUAAUCGGAAUUACUGGGCGUAAAGCGUGCGCAGGUGGUUGUAUAAGACAGAUGUGAAAUCCCCGGGCUCAACCUGGGAACUGCAUUUGUGACUGUACGGCUAGAGUGUGUCAGAGGGAGGUGGAAUUCCACGUGUAGCAGUGAAAUGCGUAGAUAUGUGGAGGAACACCAAUGGCGAAGGCAGCCUCCUGGGAUAACACUGACGCUCAUGCACGAAAGCGUGGGGAGCAAACAGG